RNAcentral lists this ribosomal RNA (594 nucleotides) under uncultured Acidobacteriota bacterium. RNAcentral describes it as "SSU rRNA". It matches the Rfam family "Bacterial small subunit ribosomal RNA", at positions 242 to 840 of the family's 1533-position model. Lineage: Bacteria; Pseudomonadati; Acidobacteriota. The record is from RNAcentral.
CAGCUAGUUGGUAGGGUAACGGCCUACCAAGGCUUUGAUCGUUAGCUGGUCUGAGAGGAUGGCCAGCCACACUGGAACUGAGACACGGUCCAGACUCCUACGGGAGGCAGCAGUGGGGAAUCUUGCACAAUGGGCGAAAGCCUGAUGCAGCGACGCCGCGUGGGGGAUGAAGCAUUUCGGUGUGUAAACCCCUUUCGACCCGGACGAAUGCCUCGCAAGAGGAGUGACGGUACGGGUAUAAGAAGCCCCGGCUAACUACGUGCCAGCAGCCGCGGUAAGACGUAGGGGGCCAGCGUUGUUCGGAAUUACUGGGUGUAAAGGGUUCGUAGGCGGUGUGGCAAGUUGGGAGUGAAAUCUCUGGGCUCAACCCAGAGGCUGCUUCCAAAACUGCUGUGCUUGAGUGUGGGAGAGGCGCGUGGAAUUGCAGGUGUAGCGGUGAAAUGCGUAGAUAUCUGCAGGAACACCCGUGGCGAAAGCGGCGCGCUGGACCACAACUGACGCUGAGGAACGAAAGCUAGGGGAGCAAACAGGAUUAGAUACCCUGGUAGUCCUAGCCCUAAACGAUCAGGACUUGGGGUGCCGCACGUUCGUGCG